This 253-nucleotide ribosomal RNA is filed under the name uncultured bacterium. RNAcentral describes it as "partial 16S ribosomal RNA". It matches the Rfam family "Bacterial small subunit ribosomal RNA", at positions 524 to 776 of the family's 1533-position model. The record is from RNAcentral.
UACGUAGGUGGCAAGCGUUGUCCGGAUUUACUGGGCGUAAAGGGCGUGCAGGCGGUUUGUUAAGUCUAGGGUGAAAGCUCCCGGCUCAACUGGGAGAGGUCCUUGGAUACUGGCGAACUUGAGGGAUGCAGAGGAAAGUGGAAUUCCCGGUGUAGUGGUGAUAUGCGUAGAUAUCGGGAGGAACACCAGUGGCGAAGGCGGCGAUCUGGGAAGAUACUGACGCUGAGGCGCGAAAGCGUGGGGAGCAAACGGG